GAGAGAGAGCGAGGGUUUGUUAGAGAGAGAGAGAGAGAGAGAGAGAGAGAGAGAGAGAGAGAGAGAGAGAGAGAGAGAGAGUUUUCGGCGUUCCUCCACCUUCAAACUACUGCAUCGCCGUCGUCUUCAUUGACUCUGGAGAAGGCAAGCCCAGGUCCUGCGGCUCCGACAAAGAUGUCGUCUAAAAUCGCCAUCGCUGGAUUUUUGAAGCUCCAACUUACCACCACUUCCAAGAUCUGCACCCAAUCAACCAGAAUUUCAGGUAUAUUGUGCAUGCAAUUCAUAGAAACAAGAAUAUAGUAAAAUUAGAUCGAAUCUGCUCCGCAUGUAUAUCCUCACCUUUUUUCAAAAUUUGUUACGAAUACUCUCUGAUGUACAAAUAGUUUUCAUGGAACUGCCAUUCUAUUUUUCGAGUGCCAUAACACCCAGAUUUCAGCUUCCAAUAUGUAGUGAUGUGAUUAAAUUUGCUGGACUUAUAUUUACUCUAAUAUGGGGAAUAGAGCUCAAUUCUUGAAUUGGUAUUUUGACUGAUAAUUUGUUUUUUGUGUAAAUGAAGAGUGAGUUUACUUCAAUCCAGCUGCUAAAAAACUAACAUUAGAUAUGUAGAAAUCAGAACUAUUUUGCUUUAAUUUCUUACCAACCGAAUGGAAGUUUAGUUUUCCCUAUUACCAAAUUAGUGACAUCUGUGAAUUCCAGGUUGGCAAAGCAGGUGGAGAGAAGUGGAAGCCUAUGUCUGAAUCUGUAAGAUUUCUACUGAUAUUUACGUAGUUAAGGAAACAGGAAAGCUUGCCUUGUUACGAUUGGAUAAAGAAUUGAAAUGGAGAUUUGCACCUAAUCAUUAGUUAAUUUUAUACUUUCUUCUUGUUCUUUUAAGUUCCUAUUUUUCAUGCAUUUUGUUCCAUUCUUUUAGUACUUUGACUUUACUUUCAGAUUGUUGGAUUUUUGUAGUUUAUUGCGAUGAUUUUGAAAGCUGAAGCUUAAGUGGAGCUCCGAAGUUUAUUGGAAAGAUUUUGGAUAUGUUUUAUGUUCACUUUUUCAAGCUUUGGAUAUUAGACAUGGUCUUUAUUAAGUGUUUUUUGGAAUCCUGGUUAGUAUGAAUCACUAGGCAGAUUAAAAAGUUAUUAGCCGUAUUUGUACAUAAUCGCAUUUUGUUGGGUUACUUGGUAGGAAUUGUUGAUGGUGUUGAUUAUCCCUUAUUAGUUCAAUACAUUCUCACCGGUAUCAUUCCUUUUGCAAGGCUGAUUAGGAACUCAUGAGUUGUCGUUAUUAGAUCCAUCCGUUUUUUGGUGUGGCUGAUCGUAAGCGUGUAUUCCCUAAUUCCUUCUGGGAAUUUGGAGUAGGAGAGGCUUGCUUUUGACUGGUUUUACGAAAUUUUACUUGGUAUAUAUCUUUUGGUUGAAUUUAAAUUCUUAUAAUGUGAUUGGUGACGAAAUUUUCCUUGCAAAGAUGGAUUUUUUGUAAUGCAUUGUCAAUUUUGGAUUGUAUCUCUGUUGAUGUACCAGUUUCUCAAGGAAGUGUGAAGCCAAUAAUGGCUCAUUUUCUAGGGACACAUUGAUAUAACAACUUCCAAUGGGCCUUUUUUUAAAAAAAGUUUUACUCAUUAGUCGGGCUAAUCUCUGUCUUGUCUAUUUCUUUCUUUUUCUUUGAAAGAUGUGUUCAUUGUGUGGUGAUCAAUAGAAUUAAUUGGAAGAUUGAACUGUGGAAUUGAAACUCCAUUCUAGAAUGAGAAAUCUAUGCAUUCACGGAGAUUAUAGUGCUUGAAUACACUGAAUGAAUACUAUUUCCUACCUUCCAGGUACAUGUAGUGUCAUCAACCGUGCACAUGUGAAUAGCACUAUAAGUUCAGUUUAGUAAAUGAACUUAAAUUGCUUAUAGCAAUGAUCGGUUUUAUGGGGAAGAUUACGCAGUUUAUUAGUGAUGUUCUUCUAAAAGGAUGGUAAAAUUGUCGAACGAUGAUCUGUAAUUGUAUGGUUUUUCCUAGAAUUACAGCUGUAUGUGGUCUAACUGGAAAAACAACUGCACACCAUAUUGAAAUUGAGUGACCCUAAAUUAAAAUUUAAUUGGAAUUCGUUGUUGUUCUGUUGCUUCAAUGGCUCCAGUUGAAGUAAAACUACAAAGACCUAGCAUAGAAGUUAUAUCCAUACCUAUCUGUGCAUGGUAAAGCAUAAAUAGAAUGUUGCAUUUUAAUGUGAAUUUGCUAUUUGCAUGCUUUGGAACUUUAAGACCAUAGUUACCCCACAAUAGUUUUUGCAGCCUUGAGAGUCAGAGUCCUUGGCCUGAUUCAAGUAGAUCUGAGCCUCAACCCCUACAUGUGAAUCAGAGUCUUUGGUUCAUUUUUUUUGCAUAGUUUUCAGAAAAAGAUGGUCACUGUUUGGAGUAAAAUCACGACAUUUCGAGUCUUGCAAGGACAUAGGAUACAUGUACAUUUAGUAAGAAACAAGGAGGUAGCACAGUGAACAAUGUACUACAAAGACUAAAAUUUAGAAUUACAAAUGAAAACUUACGCAGAUGUAUCUAGCAAAACUGUACUGUUUUGGUAGAACUAUAUUAAUAUAUGUUCAAGUGUGUUGGCCUUUUGUACUAUUUUACUUCAUUCUGUGCUUUUGGUCUAAGCUACUACUUAAGUACUCCUAAUUUAGCUAACAGCAAUCAAUUAUUCUUCUAUCAUAUUAUUGUUUGAUAAUUUACCCCAAAUUUUGAUUCUUUUCUUUAAAAUCAAUACAUGCUACAUUCCAGAUCCAAUUCCAGGCAUAUCCAGUAGCGGAACAUAUAGAUUGAGAUCGAGAAGCAUAAAAACCAGAAACAGAAAUAGACUCAAUGGAAAUAACAUAGAGAUAUGCAUCUAGAAGCUCUGCAUCGCGAUCUUGAAUUGCUGGUACUAGCAUUCGACCUGGGAGGGAGGUUACUACUUCAAAGUGGUCAAUCGGCUCUGCCUUCACCUUUGUGGCUUUACCAAAAUCUCCAAUGAAAGAACCCGGAGCUGCUUGCUCGGAUGCUUCCCGUGCUACGGGUGCUUCAGGGUCUCUAUCUUGAGAAACUGCCUCUUUAAUAGGCUCUGGAAUGGGUCUUGUGUACUACAACCCUUGCUGUUUACUCUGCUGUUAGUGGUGCUUCCAUUCUGGCGCAGGAUUGGGAUAUUAAUCCUUUGGCAAUUGUAUAAAAAAAACCCUGUAGUCGAAGUCAUGCAAUUAGCUGAAUAACUUCACACCUUUUGUUCAAGGCAAAAGCUUAUCUAGACCAUAACUUCUACAACUAGGAACUUCUGAUGAUACACUUGAUCAAACUUAUCCAUAUAACCUUUGCUAUGAUCAACAAGAACCAUAAUUGAAAGAAA
Long non-coding RNA from Rhododendron vialii, 3334 nucleotides. RefSeq lists it as uncharacterized. The transcript is spliced from 2 exons. Lineage: Eukaryota; Viridiplantae; Streptophyta; Magnoliopsida; Ericales; Ericaceae. The record is from RefSeq and is a predicted model, not a curated record.